GAAAUUCCAGAGGAUGACCUAGUCAUUUCUUCUGUAGUUUUUGUGCAUGCAUCUCAUUCUGCUUUCUGCUGUUGUAUUAUCAUACGGCAUCUUUGCAGGAAGUAAUGGAAGAUCCACAGAUUGCAGCUGAUGGUUUUACGUAUGAGCAUAGAGCAAUAAAGUUAUGGCUCACCAGACAUAGUAUAUCACCAGUUACAAAACAGAUACUGCAGCACAAGAUGGUCACACCAAACCGCACAUUGCGACUAGCUAUACAUGAGUGGCGAUCACAAGCAAUGUCGUUCAGACCCAGAUCUUGAAAUUGGGUCGCAAAGUGCAUGAUAUCAAGCCAAAAGGAGAAUUGGAAAAACAAAAAAAGAUUAUUAAUAGGUAUCUCUUAUUCACAAGUGGCUUUAGAACAAAGUCAAGUGUGUUAUGUGCAUAUACAUCAUUCUAGUGUACAUUAGCAACUGUAGUCUUUUUAAGUAUUGUAUAGCUCCUUAUGGUAGGGAAAUCCUAUAGAAAAUGUAACAUAAUUCUGUGAAUGAGAUGAUAUUUUCUGAUUGUUUUUCUUCCAGUAGAAGAGUCUGAACUAUAUCCUUGCUUUCAACAAGGAGUAGCUGAAAGUUGUAUGUAGCUAAACUGGUUUUUCUCAACAUACUGUAUUGCUCAUUUGGAAGCAAGGAAAAAAAUUAGUCUUGGGGACAUAUUGGUAAUUUGACAUUGCCAUACUAGUUGAUCUUGAAGCACUAGAUUGUUGAAGAAAGUGAAUAUGAUGAGUUUAAGGAGGUUAUUACAAUGCAGAGUAGAAUGACAAACUUCAAGACUUGAUGUAAAUUAGAGUUGCAGAUCCUCAACUCACAAUUUCUAUGAUUAGGACUAGUAGUUUCAGAAGUAUUAAAUAAAAGUAAUGUACAUAAAGUACUUGUGGGUUGAGAUUGGCCUUUGGUAGGUGUCUACGUUCUUGAAGUACAUCCAGCGUAUCAUGAGAAGUUGUAUUGCAUUAACGUAUGAUAUUUUCCGUAAGUCAUAUUGGAUAACCACCCAUCUAUUCUUUGAAACUUCAUCCUGAUCUUAGUGCUCUCGAACUAAUUAACUAAUGUUUAGUAUUUCGGCAAAAUCACUUGUCAAUUAAUUGUUUGUUUGCUUAAGCUAUUGUUCUAGUUAGUUGUCUGUUAAGUCGAUGAAAUCUAAUAGUUCUACAUCUGUUUUUCAGUUUUGUUUGUGGUUCAAAUACAAUUCUCUAUUUGGUGAUUUGUUCAAAAUCAGUAGGGGAUGUUAUUGAUAGCGGUAAAGUGGAAGAGUAGGAAGUAGAAUGAUGAAAUUAGGGUACACAUGAUUUUACUUUCACUGUUUGAAGCAUGCUAAUAGUACAAUUACUUUCUUAGCGUCUAAACUUGGUGAAAAUGGAAUGUGCUUCCUCCUAUUUGGGGUCCUUUGGUCGGUCUUUUUAGACAAAUUUUUGGUAAACAAAUAUCAAUCCUUUUGGACAAAUUUUUAGUGAACAAAAAUUGUCCGGCAAGUACUUUUCACUUCCUACUUAAGAGUUGCUCUUUCCUUACUUCAUACACACACUCUUUAUACACUCUAGAUAUUUUUCUAAACUCUAGAAAGACAACUUUGGGAGUAAAAAAUCAACAGAUGAAGCAUUCUUGCAGCUGAAAAUUGUGAGCUUGUGUGAUUCUUAGAGCACAAAAACGUGGAGAAUAAUAGAAAGAUCCUUUUAGGCAAUUUUUGGGUUUGUAAUUUUUUAGGUUUUAAGUGUGUUUUGCUGAACUUUCUGGGUUUUUUUUUGAGUUGGUUUCUGCCGUUUGCUGAGUUAAAGUAAGCUGGUUUAAUACUACAAAGGUUCAGAGUUUACUUAGCUGCUCGUUCCUCAUUUUUCUGCCAUCAUAGGUAUUUAUCUCAACUAUGUAGUUCUCAAAGUAUAUUGAAAAUUACGAAAAUAAAGUUCAGAGCUUCACUUGUGUUUAUCUGUUAGUGUCGGUACAUUUUUGUCAUGUUUAAGAAUAGAGUAAUAUUUAUCCAUGUUCGAAUGUUGGCUAUGUAACCAAAAUGUUUUUAGUUUCCAGUUGGCGCAUAAAGUUUAAGUGUUAGAAAGUUUUAUUCUCGGAAAGUCACUGAUUUUCUUCUUAAUAAGGGCAUAAGUAGCAGUUGCUCUACUGUAGCUCCGGCCGAGAGUCGAUUGGAAACAGGCUCUCUGCCCUUUCGGGAUAGGGGUAAGGUCUGUCUACUGUAGUUGUUGUUGUUGUUCUACUGUAGCAAUGCCACUAACUACAUAUGAAUGUUUUCUUCUUAAUAAAGGCAUAAGACCACUCCAUGUGAAUGUAAAUUAGUUUCACUAAGAAACUAAAAACAAGAAAGUAGGACAACAACCACAUACCUUGUGUGCCGACAGACUUCCAAUUUGAAAUUUUGAAAGAAUCAAAGCACAAAUUGACAAAUAGAAUGAAGUUCAAAAUGUGGGAAAACCCUAGAAUCAAAGAUUAAAAAUCAGAUUUCAUAUAAAUUGUCAAAUAUAAAAAAAGAGGAAAACAUGAAGAAAAAAAAUCAGAAAAAAUGAGUUGAAGAAGAAAAAUAGGGUCUAACUUCUAAGGGAGAAAAAGCAUACACUGGGAGAGUUGGAAGGCGUCCGGCUGAUUGUGUUAGCAGCGCCGACAAUCAACAACAGAGGAAGAACCCUAGCAGCAAAAGUCAAUCAAUAGAGACAGUCACACUGUCACAUUUGAUUUCGUCCUUGUUUGGAAUUGAAAGACAGCUUGUUUUUGUUAGAGUUUUGUCUUUUGUUUAUUAGAAAGAAAAAAACUAGUGUAUUUAAAAUGCUACUUUAGAGGAGUUUUGUCUUUUGUUUAUUAGAAAGCAAAAAGUUAGUAUAUUAAAAAUGUUAAUUUAGAAGAAAGUAAAGGGAGUUAUCGGGGAAUUACAUGGAAUAGUUUACUCAUUUAGUUUGUGGUUGACUGCUUUCUAAAAAUAUUAUAAAAAUAAUGAAAUAAUUGAACACAGACCUCAUUGAACCCUUUUACCCUCCA
Molecule: long non-coding RNA, 3008 nt
Filed under: Nicotiana benthamiana
Lineage: Eukaryota; Viridiplantae; Streptophyta; Magnoliopsida; Solanales; Solanaceae
Description: long non-coding RNA (NBEN_LNC027639)
Source: RNAcentral